RNAcentral lists this ribosomal RNA (506 nucleotides) under uncultured bacterium. Its description in RNAcentral is "partial 16S ribosomal RNA". It matches the Rfam family "Bacterial small subunit ribosomal RNA", at positions 30 to 523 of the family's 1533-position model. The record is from RNAcentral.
AUUGAACGCUGGCGGCAGGCCUAACACAUGCAAGUCGAACGGCAGCACGGAAGAGCUUGCUCUUUGGGUGGCGAGUGGCGGACGGGUGAGUAAUGUCUGGGAAACUGCCCGAUGGAGGGGGAUAACUACUGGAAACGGUAGCUAAUACCGCAUAACGUCGCAAGACCAAAGUGGGGGACCUUCGGGCCUCACACCAUCGGAUGUGCCCAGAUGGGAUUAGCUAGUAGGUGGGGUAAUGGCUCACCUAGGCGACGAUCCCUAGCUGGUCUGAGAGGAUGACCAGCCACACUGGAACUGAGACACGGUCCAGACUCCUACGGGAGGCAGCAGUGGGGAAUAUUGCACAAUGGGCGCAAACCUGAUGCAGCCAUGCCGCGUGUAUGAAGAAGGCCUUCGGGUUGUAAAGUACUUUCAGCGGGGAGGAAGGCGGUGAGGUUAAUAACCUUGCCGAUUGACGUUACCCGCAGAAGAAACACCGGCUAACUCCGUGCCAGCAGCCGCCGUAA